This 710-nucleotide ribosomal RNA is filed under the name uncultured bacterium. RNAcentral describes it as "bacterial SSU rRNA". It matches the Rfam family "Bacterial small subunit ribosomal RNA", at positions 1 to 710 of the family's 1533-position model. The record is from RNAcentral.
UAGAGUUUGAUCAUGGCUCAGGAUGAACGCUAGCGGCAAGCCUAACACAUGCAAGUCGAACGGUAACUUUUGGUGCUUGCACCGAAAGACGAGUGGCGAACGGGUGCGUAACGCGUAUGCAAUCUGCCUUUUACUAGGGUAUAGCCCAGAGAAAUUUGGAUUAAUCCCCUAUAAUAUCAUUUAAUCGCAUGAUUUUAUGAUUAAAGCUUCGGCGGUAAAAGAUGAGCAUGCGUCCUAUUAGUUAGUAGGUGAGGUAACGGCUCACCUAGACUCCGAUAGGUAGGGGUCCUGAGAGGGAGAUCCCCCACACUGGUACUGAGACACGGACCAGACUCCUACGGGAGGCAGCAGUGAGGAAUAUUGGACAAUGGACGAAAGUCUGAUCCAGCUAUGCCGCGUGCAGGAUGACGGCCCUAUGGGUUGUAAACUGCUUUUAUACAGGAAGAAAAACUCCGACGUGUCGGAACUUGACGGUACUGUAAGAAUAAGGAUCGGCUAACUCCGUGCCAGCAGCCGCGGUAAUACGGAGGAUCCAAGCGUUAUCCGGAAUCAUUGGGUUUAAAGGGUCCGUAGGCGGUUUUUUAAGUCAGAGGUGAAAUCCUGCAGCUCAACUGUAGAAUUGCCUUUGAUACUGAGAGACUUGAGUUAUUGUGAAGUGGUUAGAAAUGUGUGGUGUAGCGGUGAAAUGCAUAGAUAUCACACAGAAUACC